This is a long non-coding RNA of Gadus morhua (Atlantic cod), 1575 nucleotides long. The record is from Ensembl. NCBI's taxonomy places the organism in Eukaryota, Metazoa, Chordata, Actinopteri, Gadiformes, Gadidae.
AUGUUGAUGCUGAUGGUCUUCCUCUGGGGGUUCCUCACCUUCGUCACCCCUUCCCAGAGGGGGUUCUCCGUCGGUGCUCCACGGGGGGGCGCUUCCUUCUCGACGGCGUUCGGUUUACCCCCGCGUUCUCGCUCCUGUGCGAGGAGUCGAGGUGCCGGCCGUCCAGAGGAACGUCCUUCCUCAGGGACUCGCUGCUCCUCUCCUCUGCCUGUCUCUUUUUCCUCCCCGACCUGGAGUGAUCCGGGCGUGGCUCGCCAUGCUUUGGUCUGCCCGCCUCUGGAGCGCGGCUGGGCUCUGUGGACACUCCCUCAUCGCCUGGAUGUCUCUGGCCCUCCCUCCCCCCAUCGGCUCUCUGGCCCUCCCUCCCCCCAUCGGCUCUCUGGCCCUCCCUCCCUCCAUCGCCUCUCUGGCCCUCCCUCCCCCCAUCGGCUCUCUGGCCCUCCCUCCCCCCAUCGGCUCUCUGGCCCUCCCUCCCUCCAUCGCCUCUCUGGCCCUCCCUCCCCCCAUCGGCUCUCUGGCCCUCCCUCCCCCCAUCGCCUCUCUGGCCCUCCCUCCCUCCAUCGCCUCUCUGGCCCUCCCUCCCCCCAUCGGCUCUCUGGCCCUCCCUUCCGCCGUCGGCCCUCAGCGUCCCAGCGUAGGGUCGGUCCCAGGCCUCGUCCCCUGGCUCCGCCCGGCUGCAGACCCCCGGGUUGUGUAGCGGGGUACCCGGGCUGUCAUGGUUGCUCCCCCCGUCCCAGCGGCCGCGACCGGACGAGGAGGAGAAGGAGGCGCCCAGAGGCGGGGCCUCCUCCGCCCCGCCCCCGUCCGCCCGCUCCCUCUCGCUCCGCCUCCUCUUCUUCUUCUUGUGCGUCGGGUCGUCGGGACCCCUGGAGGCCGGCGCGCGGGGGGCCGGCUCCCUGUCCUCGGCCUCCUCCCGGUACGACGCCUGGUGCCCGAACAUCUCCGAGCACCUCUGCUGGUAGGUCAGCGAGCCCGAGUCCUCGUCGCUGCCCGGGGAGGGGCUGCGGUUGGGCGACCGUCGGGGGGGGGAGCGGCUCCUCUUGGCGGGGAGCCGGCCGGGGCGGUGGUUGGGCGCCGGGCGGCCGCAGGCGGGGCGGGGCGUGGGCAGGAGGGGCGGCGGCUGGAGGUGGUGGGGCGUCCCGGUGUAGUUGCCAAAGUACUUGUCGUACCACUGCAGGUACUCCGUCUCCCACUGGCGGAAGCGCUGGGCGUCGCAGCCCGCGAGUUGCGGGUGGCGGUCGCAGGCCGGCGAGCCCCGCCGCCCUGGGUCGCCGUGGUGAUCGUGGUGACUCCCGGCGCGGCGGCGGUGGUGGCGGCAGCGCGACGCCUUCCGCCGGGACCCCCGGGACCGAGAGCGGGACCUGGACCGCGUCUGGGGGCUCCUCCGGCGGCGGGACGGGGAGGACGAGGGCGGCGUCGGGGAGCGGGACCGCUUGUAGCCGUGGUGAUGGGAGCGGUCGCCGUGGCGACGGGCGGAGCUCCGUCUGUGGCGUGGGCGGGACCUUGAUCUGGAGACGAAAGGAAAGGACGUCAUUGGCUGAGGAUCCUCCGUUUGGCCCGUUUAUCUGCACCUAG